GAUGAACGCUAGCGGCAGGCCUAAUACAUGCAAGUCGAACGAGUUUAAGAGGCUUGCUUCUUAUGAAAGUGGCGCACGGGUGCGUAACGCGUAUGCAACCUACCUUUAUCAGGGGGAUAGCCCGAAGAACUUCGGCUUAUGACCCCAUAAAAACACAGGAUAGCAUUAUCCAUUUUUCAACUAUUUAUAGGCUUAUGAUGGGCAUGCGUGUCAUUAGCUAGUUGGCGGGGUAACGGCCCACCAAGGCGACGCUGACCAGGGGAUCGGAGAGGAUGACACACCACAAUGGUAAUGAGGCACGGACCAGACUGCGACGGGAGGCAGCAGUAAGGAAGACUGGGCGAUGGAGGGAACUCUGAACCAGCCAUGUCGGGUGAAAGAAGACAGGCAUCGGGGUCGUAAACUGCUUUUAUGCGAGAAGAAAAAUUUCUACGUGUAGGGAGCUGAAUGUACCGAAAGAAUAAGGACCGGCUAACUCCGUG
This 482-nucleotide ribosomal RNA is filed under the name uncultured bacterium. Its description in RNAcentral is "partial 16S ribosomal RNA". It matches the Rfam family "Bacterial small subunit ribosomal RNA", at positions 28 to 507 of the family's 1533-position model. The record is from RNAcentral.